RNAcentral lists this long non-coding RNA (658 nucleotides) under Rattus norvegicus (Norway rat). Its description in RNAcentral is "long non-coding RNA NONRATT022094". Lineage: Eukaryota; Metazoa; Chordata; Mammalia; Rodentia; Muridae. The record is from RNAcentral.
ACACACAUAGACAGAAAAUGUGAACUCUUAGUCAGCACUUUGGUAGGAAACCCUCAUAUGAGCAACAGGAACCCACAGGGCUUAUAAUAUGCUUAUUUGCUAGACUAGAAAGUCCAAAGCCAUUCUUCAAUGUCUGUGUAAUGGAGAGAUUGGAAAUUGCAACUGUUACAAGCAAAUGUAAAUGCCUGUGUGAGCACCUGUUAAUAUAGUAUUGUCCUUUUUUCUGUGUUGCGACCUUGAUGGGUGACUCCACAUAUGCAUUGUGGGUCACAAUCUAGAUACCUGCACUGGUUUCUCAGCAGAAGAAGAGGAGGAAGAUGAAGACAUUGGUGAAGAGUCCUCAGCAGAGCACACUUCUGUCUUCUCCUGUUUACCUACAUCUUUGGAGUGCUUGGCUGACACCAGCGAUUCCUGCUUCCUUCAGUUUGAGUCCUGUCCAAUGGAGGAGAGCUGGUUCAUCACUCCUCCCCCAUGUUUUACAGCAGGGGGAUUAACCACUAUCAAAGUGGAAACAAGUCCUAUGGAAAACCUUCUCAUUGAACAUCCCAGCAUGUCUGUCUAUGCUGUGCACAACUCCUGUCCUGGUCUCAGUGAAGCUAGCUGUGGGAACGAUGACUAUAACUCAAGUGGUCCCAGGUAUGCUGCAAGCACUUCACUC